UACGUAGGGUGCGAGCGUUGUCCGGAAUUAUUGGGCGUAAAGAGCUCGUAGGCGGUCUGUCGCGUCUGCUGUGAAAUCCCGAGGCUCAACCUCGGGCUUGCAGUGGGUACGGGCAGGCUAGAGUGCGGUAGGGGGAGAAUGGAACUCCUGGUGUAGCGGUGAAAUGCGCAGAUAUCAGGAGGAACACCAACAGCGAAGGCAGAUCUCUGGGACGUUACUGACGCUGAGACGCGAAAGCGUGGGGAGCAAACAGG
Molecule: ribosomal RNA, 254 nt
Filed under: uncultured bacterium
Lineage: Bacteria
Description: partial 16S ribosomal RNA
Rfam family: Bacterial small subunit ribosomal RNA
Source: RNAcentral